This 477-nucleotide ribosomal RNA is filed under the name uncultured bacterium. Its description in RNAcentral is "bacterial SSU rRNA". It matches the Rfam family "Bacterial small subunit ribosomal RNA", at positions 40 to 507 of the family's 1533-position model. The record is from RNAcentral.
CGGCAGGCCUAAUACAUGCAAGUCGAACGGCAGCACAGUGAGCUUGCUCCAUGGGUGGCGAGUGGCGGACGGGUGAGGAAUACGAUGGGAAUCUGCCCAGUCGUGGGGGAUAACGUAUGGAAACGUACGCUAAUACCGCAUGCGCCCUUCGGGGGAAAUCGGGGACCGCAAGGCCUGACGCGAUUGGAUGAGCCCAUGUUCGAUUAGCUAGUUGGCGGGGUAGCGGCCCACCAAGGCGACGAUCGAUAGCUGGUCUGAGAGGAUGAUCAGCCACACUGGAACUGAGACACGGUCCAGACUCCUACGGGAGGCAGCAGUAGGGAAUAUUGGACAAUGGGCGCAAGCCUGAUCCAGCCAUGCCGCGUGAGUGAAGAAGGCCCUCGGGCUGUAAAGCUCUUUUGUUGGGGAAGAAAAGCAGUUGGUUAAUACCCGAUUGUUCUGACGGUACCCAAAGAAUAAGCACCGGCUAACUUCGUG